Long non-coding RNA from Poecilia latipinna (sailfin molly), 575 nucleotides. RefSeq lists it as uncharacterized. The transcript has 2 exons. Lineage: Eukaryota; Metazoa; Chordata; Actinopteri; Cyprinodontiformes; Poeciliidae. The record is from RefSeq and is a predicted model, not a curated record.
UGACGGACAGGGACCCUCUGCAGGAAGCAACAAUGGAUAAAUUUAAACACGUCUGCAGCGUUUUAAACGAGGGGAUUAUUACACAACACACCGACUUCAGCUUCUGAAAUAGUUUCAGACUACGUCGCUGCAAUUAACAGGAAAUGGCACGAAAGAGAACGCCUCGGAGCUAAUUAAUGCAGAUCAGGGCUCAGUGUGUGAGCAACGAUGUCGAAGUAAGUCAUCAGGAUCACCGCAUUCGUUUCAGCUCCUCUCCGUCGUGAACGGGAAACGGCUCUGAUUGCUUUGCGUUUCCACGGGUGAUGAUGGAUGUCUUUGCUGAAAGCGGCGCUGAACCUGCGACGGCGCGUAAUAAGAUUCCUCAGUCGCGGUGACGACGACGACGUGCCGCUCUGACCCCGACUCUGCCGCGCCCGCGACGCGAACGUGCAGGCAAGCUCAUUUGGCACAGAUGAGUCAAGACAAACACGUGAGGGACUAGCCUGCGCAUUUGGCCAUCAUAAAAGCUGCCAGAAGAAGAGAAGCACAGCGGAGAAACCCAAAGAAUCCAGCUUAUUAUUUCUGUUAAAAAAAAA